GGUUUGAUUAUGGCUCAGAUUGAACGCUGGCGGGAUGCUUUACGCUUAAGUCGAACGGCGGCACGGACUUCGGUCUGGUGGCGAGUGGCGAACGGGUGAGUAAUGUAUCGGAACGUGCCUAGUAGCGGGGGAUAACUACGCGAAAGCGUGUCAGCCGCAUACGCCCUUCGGGGGAAAGCGGGGGACCUUCGGGCCUCGCACUAUUAGAGCGGCCGAUAUCGGAUUAGCUAGUUGGUGAGGUAACGGCUCACCAAGGCGACGAUCCGUAGCUGGUUUGAGAGGACGACCAGCCACACUGGGACUGAGACACGGCCCAGACUCCUACGGGAGGCAGCAGUGGGGAAUUUUGGACAAUGAAACCACAGUCAGCCAUCCGCGUGUGCGAUGAAGGCCUUCGGGUUGUAAAGCACUUUUGGCAGGGAAAGAAACGGCACGGGAUAAUACCCCGUGCAACUGACAGUACCUGCAGAAUAAGCACCGGCUAACUACGUGCCAGCAGCCGCGGUAAUACGUAGGGUGCAAGCGUUAAUCGGAAUUACUGGGCGUAAAGCGUGCGCAGGCGGUUCGGAAAGAAAGAUGUGAAAUCCCAGAGCUUGCUUUGGAACUGCAUUUUUAACUACCGAGCUAGAGUGUGUCAGAGGGAGGUGGAAUUCCGCGCGUGUAGCAGUAUUACGUAGAUAUGCGGAGGAACACCAGUGGCGAAGGCUCAACCUCCUGGGAUAACACUGACGCUCAUGCACGAAAAGCGUGGGAGCAAACAGGAUUAGAUACCCUGGUAGUCCACGCCUAAACGAUGUCAACUAGCUGUUGGGGCCUUCAGGCCUUGGUGACGCAACUAACGCGUGAAGUUGACCGCCUGGGAAAUACGGUCGCAAGAUUAAAGCCAAAGGAAUUGACGGGGACCCACUGGCGGAGGUGGAUGAUGUGGAUUAAUUCGAUGCAACACGAAAAACCUUACCUACCACUUGACACAUGUCUGGAAUCCCGAAGAGAUUGGAGUGCUCGCAAGAGAACCGGAACCUGGGUGCUGCCUUGGCUGUCGUCAGCUCGUGUCGUGAGAUGUUGGGUUAAGUCCCGCAACGAGCGCAACCUGCUGUUAGUUGCUACGAAGGGCACUCUAAUGAGACUGCCGGUGACAAACCGGAGGAAGGUGGGGAUGACGUCAAAGUCCUCAUGGCCCUUAUGGGUAGGGCUUCACACGUCAUACAAUGGUCGGGACAGAGGGUCGCCAACCCGCGAGGGGGUAAUCCCAGAAACCCGAUCGUAGUCCGGAUCGCAGUCUGCAACUCGACUGCGUGAAGUCAGGAAUCGCUGUGUCCGCGGAUCAGCAUGUCGCGGUGAAUACGUUCCCGGGUCUUGUACACACCGCCCGUCACACCAUGGGAGUGGGUUUUAUGAAGUAAGUUAGCCUAACCGUAAGGAGGGCGAUUACCACAGUAGGAUUCAUGACGGGGGUGAAGUCGUAACAAGGUAG
RNAcentral lists this ribosomal RNA (1474 nucleotides) under uncultured Bordetella sp. Its description in RNAcentral is "partial 16S-23S ribosomal RNA intergenic spacer". It matches the Rfam family "Bacterial small subunit ribosomal RNA". Lineage: Bacteria; Pseudomonadati; Pseudomonadota; Betaproteobacteria; Burkholderiales; Alcaligenaceae. The record is from RNAcentral.